GCUCUCCACUUAGAGGCCAAUGUGUGCUGGUUAUCAAUUUAUGGCCUCUCAGCUUCAAAUCCAUAGUGCAUUGCUGGGUCCUUUAAAUAUUUUUGCUUUGCCAGCUGCAUGAUGCUAAACUUUGUCAGUAGAGGGCACUGGAGAGACACUGGAGGAGGGAAGGUUUCGUUCCUAGUCAGGCCCAUGCUACUCCACAGGCUCCUGCAGAUCGCGCGGCCUUUCCAGUGCCCGGCUUCUCCAGCACCAGAGUUCUUAAUGAAGAUGUGUGCUUCAAUGUGCCAAUUUCUUCAAGCACUUUUAACAAUGAAGGCACAAUGUUCUUCUCUCAGUUUCUACAGAAUGUCACGCUCCUUCCUGCUACAAGCCUUUGCCCAGGCUGUGUUUUCUGAUUGGAAUAUCCUCCCCACUUCCCACCUUCCGUGCACUUCCCAGCCUCCCUGUGCAGAGGAACACUGGACACACUUUAGCACUAUGCUUGGGGCCCUGUGAAAGCACCACAAAAAGCACAACAAUGUGGAAAACGUGGCACUAAAUAAACCAUGGAAAGGACAUUUGUUUACAGGAUGAGAUCUGAAACAAGAAGGCAGAACAUCGCCUUGUUCAACCUCAGCUGGGAACGCGAGCAUUGGGCAACUCAGAAUUCACCCUGCUUUUCAAAUGUCAGUGAAUGAAGCCAAGAGUUCCUGAGUAUUGAUUUUGGGAGAUACAAACAAGUUUUAGCAAAUAGACAAAUUUAGGGGCUGGCCCUGUGGCAGAGUGGUUAAGUUCACACGCUCUGCUUUGGCGGCCCAGGGUUUCGCUGGUUUGAAUUCCAAAAGGUGCUUCCCAGACCAGUGUUAAAUGGGUGCUGAGCUAUGAGGAUUCUGUGGGAAGUCAGUUUGGGAAAUGCUGAUGUCAAGAAAUCCUCUGUGUCUCUGGUAUUUGAAAAAAGCCAGUGCUUCCGAUUCUUAUAGUUAGGCUUUGAUGGGAACAGACUCACUUGUGCCAAAAUAGAGGCCAGAACCAGCAUCCCUUUUGCAGUUGUAUAUUUUGUGUUUUGUUAUCUUGCUUUUCCAAGCUCUCAUAGCCCAUUUUACUGCAUCUCAUUAGAUGGGGCACAAUUUCAUCUUUUUGACAAACACUGACAAACAUGAUUAAGCAGAAUUAAGCUUGCCUGUUUUUCUAGAUAUUGCACAGAUUUUACAAGAAGCUUUCACCUGAAAAGAUGCCAUGGAAAAGUUUAGUAAAUUCCUUG
RNAcentral lists this long non-coding RNA (1234 nucleotides) under Equus asinus (donkey). RNAcentral's name for it is "lncRNA (ENSEASG00005037519.1)". The record is from RNAcentral. Lineage: Eukaryota; Metazoa; Chordata; Mammalia; Perissodactyla; Equidae.